UUUAAGUGUAGCCAUGAGUUUCCGUGUCCAACGUUUGACCAUCCGUCUUAUUUUAAAUUUUUUAUUAUUAUUAGAUGAUAAAACAUGAAUAGUACUUUAUGCAUGAUUCAUUUUUGUUAAAAUUUUCAAAUAAGACAGACGGUCAAACAUUUGACACGGAAAAUCACAACUGCACUUAAA
This is a microRNA precursor of Oryza rufipogon (brownbeard rice), 180 nucleotides long. It matches the Rfam family "MIR812 microRNA precursor family". The record is from Rfam. Lineage: Eukaryota; Viridiplantae; Streptophyta; Magnoliopsida; Poales; Poaceae.